CUUUCCUUGAUGACGACUGGCGCACGGGUGAGUAACGCGUAUCCAACCUUCCCAUAACUACGGGAUAACCCGUUGAAAGACGGCCUAAUACCGUAUGACAUCGUUUGCUGACAUCAAAUAACGAUUAAAGGUUUAGCGGUUAUGGAUGGGGAUGCGUCUGAUUAGCUUGUUGGCGGGGUAACGGCCCACCAAGGCGACGAUCAGUAGGGGUUCUGAGAGGAAGGUCCCCCACAUUGGAACUGAGACACGGUCCAAACUCCUACGGGAGGCAGCAGAA
RNAcentral lists this ribosomal RNA (277 nucleotides) under uncultured Prevotella sp. RNAcentral's name for it is "partial 16S ribosomal RNA". It matches the Rfam family "Bacterial small subunit ribosomal RNA", at positions 79 to 354 of the family's 1533-position model. Lineage: Bacteria; Pseudomonadati; Bacteroidota; Bacteroidia; Bacteroidales; Prevotellaceae. The record is from RNAcentral.